Molecule: microRNA precursor, 52 nt
Filed under: Marmota monax (woodchuck)
Lineage: Eukaryota; Metazoa; Chordata; Mammalia; Rodentia; Sciuridae
Source: RNAcentral
UUUUUAGUAUAAAUAUGUCCCAUACAACAUUUGGGACAUACUCAUACAGACA